Molecule: ribosomal RNA, 519 nt
Filed under: uncultured bacterium
Lineage: Bacteria
Description: partial 16S ribosomal RNA
Rfam family: Bacterial small subunit ribosomal RNA
Source: RNAcentral
GACGAACGCUGGCGGCGUGCCUAAUACAUGCAAGUCGAGCGAGUCUGCCUUGAAGAUCGGAGUGCUUGCACUCUGUGAAACAAGAUACAGGCUAGCGGCGGACGGGUGAGUAACACGUGGGUAACCUGCCCAAGAGAUCGGGAUAACACCUGGAAACAGAUGCUAAUACCGGAUAACAACAGAUGAUGCCUAUCAACUGUUUAAAAGAUGGUUCUGCUAUCACUCUUGGAUGGACCUGCGGUGCAUUAGCUAGUUGGUAGGGUAACGGCCUACCAAGGCGAUGAGGCAUAGCGGAGUGGAGAGACUGAUCGGCCACAUUGGAACUGAGACACGGCCCACACUCCUACGGGAGGCAGCAGGAGGGAAUCUUCCACAAGGGGCGCAAGUCUGAUGGAGCAACGCCGCGUGAGUGAAGAAGGUUUUCGGAUCGUAAAACUCUGUUUUUGGGGAAGAAGAAAAGGGGUAGUAACUGUCCUUUUUUUGACGGUAAUUAAUAAGAAAGCCACGGCUAACUACGUG